GGGCGCAAGCCUGAACCAGCCAUGCCGCGUGAAGGAUGACGGCCCUAUGGGUUGUAAACUUCUUUUGUACGGGAAAAACCACCGGUCGUGUAUCGGUGCUGAUGGUACCGUAAGAAUAAGCAUCGGCUAACUCCGUGCCAGCAGCCGCGGUAAUACGGAGGAUGCAAGCGUUAUCCGGAUUCAUUGGGUUUAAAGGGUGCGCAGGCGGAGUGAUAAGUCAGUGGUGAAAGCCUACAGCUUAACUGUAGAACUGCCAUUGAUACUGUCAUUCUUGAGUAUUGUUGAGGUAGGCGGAAUGUUUCAUGUAGCGGUGAAAUGCUUAGAUAUGACACAGAACACCGAUCGCGAAGGCAGCUUACCAAGCAAUAACUGACGCUCAUGCACGAAAGCGUGGGGAUCAAACAGGAUUAGAUACCCUGGUAGUCCACGCCGUAAACGAUGAUCACUCGAUGUUGGCGAUACACAGUCAGCGUCUUAGGGAAACUAUUAAGUGAUCCACCUGGGGAGUACGGUCGCAAGAUUGAAACUCAAAGGAAUUGACGGGGGCCCGCACAAGCGGAGGAGCAUGUGGUUUAAUUCGAUGAUACGCGAGGAACCUUACCUGGGCUCGAACGUGGAAUGACAGUCGCGGAAACGUGAUCUUCUUCGGACAUUCUACGAGGUGCUGCAUGGUUGUCGUCAGCUCGUGCCGUGAGGUGUCGGGUUAAGUCCCAUAACGAGCGCACCCCUAUCUUUAGUUGCCAUCAGGUAAUGCUGGGGACUCUAAAGAAACUGCCUACGCAAGUAGUGAGGAAGGCGGGGAUGACGUCAAAUCAGCACGGCCCUUACGUCCAGGGCUACACACGUGCUACAUGGCCGGUACAGAGGGCAGCUACCUGGUGACAGGAUGAAAUCUCCAAAGCCGGUCUCAGUUGGAUCGAAGUCUGAAACUCGACUUCGUGAAGUUGGAUUCGCUAGUAAUCAAGCAUCAGCCAUGGCGCGGUGAAUAC
This 989-nucleotide ribosomal RNA is filed under the name uncultured bacterium. RNAcentral describes it as "bacterial SSU rRNA". It matches the Rfam family "Bacterial small subunit ribosomal RNA", at positions 373 to 1369 of the family's 1533-position model. The record is from RNAcentral.